CGAGGGAGUGGGCUCCGUGCUACGCGCGGAAUUCGCGGCGACCAAAGGGAAUAACAGCUGUACCCUCAAGGAGCUAACAUGAAGUUAUGCACAACAAACAAUUGCUAACGCCCUAUAAAGUCAAAAUAUGACCGGUGUUUAAAGAUGAGUAAAAACUUCCUUCGGGACUAAACCAGCAAGUAGACUCAGCUUUGGGAGCCAUCACCCUGGUCCACCUUGAUGUGUCAGCACCACAGAGAGCAGCUUACUUCAUACCCAACCCUGUAAUGCUUGAGUCACUCAAAUGGUGGUAAAGAGGCAAACUAGAUUGUUUCUAAUCGGUGUGCACCUUUGGGACACGUAUAUAACCACCCGAUGCACAUCGUUGGUGACCUAUGAGCAUAUCUACCUCAGCAGUGGGAAUGGGCCCUAGUACGUGAGAAUGUGCCUUAAACAGUGUCUGGCACAUAGUGUGGGAACUGAGGAGUGCAGAAUGGGAAGACUACUGAGGCUACUUAGAGAUGCCUCUCCCAGUGCUCCUUCAGGAUGCUGCUUCCAUCUAUGUUAAGCCCUGAGUUAACUCUGCAGAGAGGCCCCCAGUCACACAGGUUCCUUCUGGCCCAGAGUGACCCCCCUGUGGACGACUGCCGAGUGAGAGCAUGCAUGAUUACCAGAGGUUGCCCAAGCUCCAAAGGAAGAACUCCAUGAUCAACACCCCUGACACUAUGUGGAAAUGGACACGACUGAUGAAUGUGAAAAGGAAUCAUUGAAAUGGAAAAUCCUGGAGCUGAAAGUGGCCGUAUCCAGCUCUACUCUGUGAAUUUUGUAUUUUUUCUUUUAUUUAUUCAUCAUCUCAACAGACAUGUUUUGCGAAUAUACUACAUGCAAAUUACUACAUUGGGUGCUAGGAAAAGAACUGUGAACAAGGGAAGAGGCCAUGUGAGGACACAGUGAGAAGGCAGCCAUAUACAAGCCUGGAAGAGAGGCUUCACCAGAAAUCAACCCAGAUGGCACCUUGAUCUUAGACUUCUAGCUUCCUGAACUCUUCCCGAAGACCAGUCCUCAUGAAGAAAGUGAGGGAAUACUCAUCCUUACUUCCCUCCCACUUCUGUCAGAGGGAACAAUAUUUCCCAAAGUGUGGAAUUCAGACUAGUGCUGAAUAUGUAAGCUGAAAGCAUGCUGACCGAUAAGAGUGGUUAAACUGGUUUCUUCAGUCAGUGAGGAGGGAAUUGGCUCCUGGCUCCACCACAGAAAUUAUAUGCCCUCUUCAAAGCUGCUUCCUCCUCUGAGACGCAGGUUAUGCAGUCAACAGUUUUGACAGCUACAAAGGGACCCAGAGCAGACUUUUCUCCUUUGCCUGAACUCUCCAAGGAUCCAGAGCCUAGGUACCAGCAGAGGAUUCUUGGGCCCAUCUGCCACCUCAGAGAGUCCGGAUGAAUUUGGAUAACUCUGGGAUGCUUCAAAGAAACCCUGCAACAUCUCAGAGAGAAACGUUAAGCUAGUUAGGCUAAUUUGGUAUGUUAAAUUACUUGAGAAGCACUGUCAAGCGAUUGGAGAUAAACCUUCUUAGGCUAUAUGGUAUGGGUAAAUGUCAUUAAUACAAAUAUUCCAAAAUUUAUACGGAAUUCCUAAAAAUCUGGUAUGUCCUGGUAUAAGGUUAUCAGUCAUAAUUCUAGGUGUUAUCUUAGGAUGUUGUAUGUCACAGAAAUAUCCAAGUUUCUUGUCAAUUACAUUAUAAUCAAUCAGAUCUUUAACCAUGCCAUUUUAAGUCUUCUUGUUUAUACACAAUCAUUGUUUUACUCUGAUGCUUUUAUAUAUGAAGAUCUUAGUGAAGAUUCAUAAAAAGCACUUUUGAUAAAUACAAGUUUUUGAUAACUUUUAGAUCUUACUCCUGAACUGGGUAAGAAAUUUUAAAAGACUAAUGGACAACCUGACAACUUCAUCUAGAUGAACAGGAAUUAAUUACAUGGACUGAAUGAAUUGAUGAACAUGACUUAUAAUUUUAUGACUUUUUUCUGAAAUAUACUGGUUUUUAAUCUCUGUUUUCCAGAAAACCUUUCCUCUUACGCUAACUAUGACCUUCAACAAGUUGAUAAAGUAUACCUUUGUAAACGAAGAUGAAACAUUUAUCUUUUUCUCUCUACCUGAUCCCUCCAGAAUUUGGCUUCUCCAGUUGGCUCCCCUGUGGACUUGAUGGCUUAUUUUGACCAGAUUACAACUAGUUAUACUGUUAAACUGUUACACUGUUUUAGUUUGUUCUCGGCAUUUUCAAAUUACUUAUGCCUUGUGCCUCUCUCUGCUGCACUAUCAGUUUAUUAAUGUUACUAACUGUAUUACUUAUGUCCUGUCUGUUUUAUGAGAUUGUUAUCUCUUACAUUACCAAAGUGUAACCAAGCCUCCAGCAAAAUUAAUGACGUCUCGAGUUAGUUGAUCAUGUACAUAACUCUACAUAGAAUAAUUGUAGUAGUGCAAUUCCAGAUCUGGGAAGAAGCAACGAGGGAAAACAUUUCCUGGAUCACAACAGACUAAUAAGACAGGUGAUCCAGAGAAUUUUAGAUGAUCAACAGGGUCUAAUCCACAACAAAUCAGCACAUUGAGUGGCCCAGCAACAGAAUCUUCGCGUGAUCAAGGGAUGAGCCUUCCUAGCCCUGAGGGACAAAAUUGGUCAUGAAAUGCCUCCCAAAUACUGGUUGAAUUUAUGGCCAAGAGGAAGCACUGUGAGCAAAGACUGUCACCUGCCGUAUCAGUAAACAAGCCAUGAAGCCAUCAACCUCUGCAGCCACCACCAAUGGUGCAGCCUGAGGGGAUUCAGAAUGGAGAAAAACAGGAUACUGGCCCUAGACAGUUAAGGUGCAUAUUAAAGGAAUGAUUUCAAUGAGCCAAGGGCCUUGCAUCUUCCCAUACAUAGAAAAGCACUAAAUUCAUUAACUGUAGAUGUCUGUUUUUUCAUUAAUUAGCAGCAAUCUUGUGAUGUUCGACUUCCUGAUUUUAUUUUUGCAAAAACUCCUACAUAUUCCUGGCUCCUCCCUUACC
This is a long non-coding RNA of Aethalodelphis obliquidens (Pacific white-sided dolphin), 3012 nucleotides long. RefSeq lists it as uncharacterized. The record is from RefSeq and is a predicted model, not a curated record. NCBI's taxonomy places the organism in Eukaryota, Metazoa, Chordata, Mammalia, Artiodactyla, Delphinidae. The transcript is spliced from 11 exons.